RNA transcript from Pantherophis guttatus, 2060 nucleotides. RefSeq lists it as uncharacterized. The record is from RefSeq and is a predicted model, not a curated record. Lineage: Eukaryota; Metazoa; Chordata; Lepidosauria; Squamata; Colubridae.
GUGCUUAGCAACCAGGAAAAGUGACAUCAUAACUGUCACGGUCAUGUGAGUUUACUGCUUAGCGACUGUGAUGCUUUAACAAACUGAUUUCCAGGCUCAAAAAAUGGAUUUUAUAUCCUUUUGAGAAGCUAGAUUUCCUCAGAGACAAAAAGAACUCAUUCCGUGCUCGUAGGACCUUGUUUGUAAAGGCCCCAAACCUGCAGGCUCCAGUUGUAUUACUAGUUCAAUUUUUAUUCGGAAGCUAUAAAAAGUUGGAAGCCCUAGGCAGGUUACAACCAAGCUAAGCAAAUUGUUACUCAAAGAAUAAGACAUAAGGACUUCCAGAUUGGAAUUUACAGGCUCCCCUAACAGUCUUCGUAGAUAAUUACAGGACCAUCCAACCUUGUGAUAAAAAAAAUUGUCAGCCUCAUUAUGCCUCGUGGAAAGAAAGGACGAACGUCAUGGACAAGAGAUGACCACAAGCGCCGUCGGGAUACGGCAAGGAGGAGGAGAGAACAAGAAACAGAGAAGGAAAGGGCUGCACGUCUCCAGAAAGACAGAGAAAGGCACAGAAUAAGGAGGCAAGCAGAGAGAGAGAAGGAAAAGGAAGAUCAACUUGAGAAUAUGUGGCAUAGAACAAUUAGUGCUAGAGUUGCUGAACACCGCAACGCCCACCUUCAACAACAAGACCUCAACAGAGAAAGAACAACACAGCAAAAUGCACGACUGACACGACUUAAUAUUUCUGCUAAGGGAGGAGCAACUAUGGUGGAAGAGAAGCUUGUGGUUCCCAAAGAAGAAGAGGGAAGUGAGAAUUGUUGGCAAGAACCUCUCAUUGUCCAAGUCUGGACUAUCAGGGACUAUUUGACCAAUCCAUCUCAUGUUAAGCUGGAGUCGGAGGAAGAAAUGCACCAAUAUUCGAACUCUCAAUGGCAGGAAUUCCUGAAAAAUGUGGCAGCAGCUCGUCCAUUGGAGGAAGAUGCCAAGGACUUCCAGUUCCCCUUGGGGAGAGUCAAAGAGGAACCUCAGAAGGACAGCUCUGAGGAGGCCAGAAGGAAGGCUGUGCUCCAAUGUGAUCCAAACAUCAGUGGGAAAGCCUGGACGGGCAGGGAAAAGCUGGAUUACUGUGUGAAGGUGAAGAUGGAAGAGCCUCUGGAGAUGGUUGAUCUCGAGAGCCAAUGACUCUAGUACCUUGGGCAGUUCGGCCUUAAGGAUGCUGAGGAGCAUCAGGAGGGAGGAUCAACUUUGUUACACUUUUCUGGGAGGAGGCUCUGUGGUAUCUGAAGCAGAAUAUCCAGAUUCAGUCACAGUUUUGUUCCAUACACCAGCUUCCUCUUUCUGCUAUGCAUUCAAGAUGGACAGUGAUUAAUAUUUAUACAUAUAUGUUAGGAUAUAGGUGCAUACAUACAUAUGUAUAGAGUAUGUCUAUAUGUACGUUGUAUACACUUUUGACAGCAGGCAACAGAAUUUCAUUUUUAAUGUGGGCCAGUGUGCCCACAGGAAAAAAAAUGACAAUAAAGGUCAGCUUAUAUCUUAUCUAGGACCAGGGGAGACAUGAUAGCAGUGUUCUAGUAUUUGAGGGGCUGCCACAGAGAGGAAGGGGUCAAGCUAUUUUCCAAGGCACUUGAAGGCCAGACUAGGAAUAAUGGACGGAAACUGAUCAAGGAGAGAUUCAACUUAGAAAUAAGGAGAAAUUUUAUGACAGUGAGAACAAUCAACCAAUGGAACAGCUUGCCUUUGGAAGUUGUGGGAGCUUCAUCACUGGAGGCUUUCAAAAAGAGAUUGGACUGCCAUUUAUCAGAAAUGGAGUAGGGUCUCCUGCUUGGGCAGGGGGUUAGACUAGAUGACCUACAAGGUCCCUUCCAACUCUGCUAAUCUGUUAACCUCUUCUCUUCUCUUCUCUUCUCUUCUCUUCUCUUCUCUUCUCUUCUCUUCUCUUCUCUUCUUUUCUCUUCUUCUCUUUUGUCUUGUCUUGUCUUGUCUUGUCAUCUCUUAUCUUUUAUCUUCUCUUAUUUUUGGAGGAAGAGAAAUUUCUGGUAAUCAAAAAAAAAAAAAAAGAAGAAGGAACUGAGAAUGAGGAA